This 1419-nucleotide long non-coding RNA is filed under the name Oryctolagus cuniculus (rabbit). RNAcentral's name for it is "lncRNA (ENSOCUG00000039382.1)". The record is from RNAcentral. Lineage: Eukaryota; Metazoa; Chordata; Mammalia; Lagomorpha; Leporidae.
AUGGAAGCCCAGGUGGGGGCUGUGUUAGGUUAUGACACGUGGCCCUGGAGUAGCUUUGUCCUCAUUAGACACGGGGGCCCACAGCCUGGAGGUAACAUCCAGCCUGUGCCUCAGGGGUGUGGUGAGUGCUUGCUGCACCCCCAACCCACUGCUGAGGACUCUUGGGGGAGGGGUGAGCUCCCCAGAGAGUCCUACCCACAAGCUAAGGAAGAAGGCAAUGAGAUCAGAGCCCGGAAGGGAUCGUCCCCUGCUUGCAGCACCCAAGUGGGGUCCCUCCCUCGAGGGGGCAUCUCUGAAGUGCGAGUUGAAAUCCUGUCCUGGUGGUCCCUGAGACCUAACCAGGUAGGCCCAGGAUGUCCUCAGAAUGGCAGAGCCUCUCCUAGGGAUGUCCAGACCGUGGGGGCCGAGCUGAGCUCAGCGGGGCACCUGCGAGGCAGACAGUCUCAGAGGGAUGGCCGGCUCUGCAGGAAUGGUGACCACUUUGCAGAAACAACUUCACAGUCCUGGAAGAGCUGGGAAGAGCGAGCCAGAGGAGCCAGAGGGGGCCUCCGACAGACACCUUCAGAGCUGCAGUCCACAGCCUUGGCAGUGGGGGACAUUCCAGAACAAGGAACAUUCCAGAACACAUUUGGGCACCAAGGGGAUCUGAAGAUACGUACCUCCUACGACUGAGCAGUCUCAUUGCUGGGUGUUCAGUUGCUGCUCUGAUUCACAUCAGCAAAGUCUGGAGAUGGUUUGGAUCAUUGGGGCUUGGGGAGAGGAAAGUGGACUACCGGCUUCCAGUGGAUGAGAGCCAGGGGCGCUGCCAGCAGCCAACAGCGUCAGGAUGGCCCCUACAGCAUCCUAUCACUAGUGUGCCCAUCGAGAAACCACGCCCUGGAGAAAGCCCAGUGCAUAGCACAGAGACACCUGCAGCCACGCUCACGAGCGCGUGUUUUACAAGAGCGACACUGGAAAGACCCGUUUCCACCAAGAGUGAAGUGGAGAUGUGAGCUGCAGUUGAUUCGAAUACCCAGCUCUCUGGCAAGGCCGUGAGUGGACUCAGCUCCACGCCCGACAAAUCUCACUGCGGCAAUGCUGAAAGAGGAGAAGCAAGAUGCCGCAAAACGUGAGGCUGCGUGUGCCUACAGAAACUCCGCGGCAAAACCACACUGCAUUGCCUGGGAAGGCAGGCGGCAUGGUGAAACCGCGAGGGGAGGGGAGGCUGGGUCCCAGAAGCCCAGUGGCAGCUGGCUCCUGCAGGAGGCCCGGCGAUGUGACUGAGUUCCGGAGUAAGACACCUGGGCUGUGAUGCCCUGCACGUCCGCAUCCUAAUUACUUGUUAACCGCACAUUUACACUGAAUAUACUUCUCUGUGUGUGAGGUUUUUGUACGAUGCCAAAUGGUAAAUAAAAUAGUCUCUUUUCUUUUACUUGGCCA